GAAAAACUAACAAGGAUUCCCCUAGUAACUGCGAGUGAAGCGGGAAAAGCUCAAAUUUAAAAUCUGGUUAGUCUCUGGCUGCCCGAGUUGUAAUCUAGAGAAGUGUUAUCCGCGUUGGACCGUGUACAAGUCUCCUGGAAUGGAGCGUCAUAGAGGGUGAGAAUCCCGUCUUUGACACGGACUACCAGUGCUUUGUGAUGCGCUCUCAAAGAGUCGAGUUGUUUGGGAAUGCAGCUCAAAAUGGGUGGUAAAUUCCAUCUAAAGCUAAAUAUUGGCGAGAGACCGAUAGCGAACAAGUACCGUGAGGGAAAGAUGAAAAGAACUUUGGAAAGAGAGUUAAACAGUACGUGAAAUUGCUGAAAGGGAAACGCUUGAAGUCAGUCGCGUUGUCUGGGGAUCAACCUUGCUUUUGCUGGGUGUACUUUCCAGAUGACGGGUCAGCAUCAAUUUUGACCGUUGGAUAAAGUGCAGGGAAAUGUGGCAUCUUCGGGUGUGUUAUAGUCUCUGUUCGCAUACAACGGUUGGGAUUGAGGAACUCAGUACGCCGCAAGGCCGGGAAUUUAUUCUACGUUCGUACUUAGGAUGCUGGCAUAAUGGCUUUAAUCGACCCGUCUUGAAACACGGACCAAGGAGUCUAACAUGCCUGCGAGUGUUUGGGUGGAAAACCCGAGCGCGUAAUGAAAGUGAAAGUUGAGAUCCCUGUCGUGGGGAGCAUCGACGCCCGGACCAGACCUUUUGUGACGGAUCUGCGGUAGAGCAUGUAUGUUGGGACCCGAAAGAUGGUGAACUAUGCCUGAAUAGGGUGAAGCCAGAGGAAACUCUGGUGGAGGCUCGUAGCGAUUCUGACGUGCAAAUCGAUCGUCAAAUUUGGGUAUAGGGGCGAAAGACUAAUCGAACCAUUUAGUAGCUGGUUCCUGCCGAAGUUUCCCUCAGGAUAGCAGAAACUCAUUUCAGAUUUAUGUGGUAAAGCGAAUGAUUAGAGGCCUUGGGGUUGAAACAACCUUAACCUAUUCUCAAACUUUAAAUAUGUAAGAACGAGCCGUCUCUUGAUUGGACCGCUCGGCGAUUGAGAGUUUUUAGUGGGCCAUUUUUGGUAAGCAGAACUGGCGAUGCGGGAUGAACCGAACGCGAGGUUAAGGUGCCGGAAUUCACGCUCAUCAGACACCACAAAAGGUGUUAGUUCAUUUAGACAGCAGGACGGUGGCCAUGGAAGUCGGAAUCCGCUAAGGAGUGUGUAAC
Molecule: ribosomal RNA, 1239 nt
Filed under: Deconica coprophila
Lineage: Eukaryota; Fungi; Basidiomycota; Agaricomycetes; Agaricales; Kuehneromycetaceae
Description: partial large subunit ribosomal RNA
Rfam family: Eukaryotic large subunit ribosomal RNA
Source: RNAcentral